Molecule: ribosomal RNA, 492 nt
Filed under: uncultured bacterium
Lineage: Bacteria
Description: partial 16S ribosomal RNA
Rfam family: Bacterial small subunit ribosomal RNA
Source: RNAcentral
GAUGAACGCUAGCUACAGGCUUAACACAUGCAAGUCGAGGGGAAACGACAUCGCAAGCUUGCUUUUGAUGGGCGUCGACCGGCGCACGGGUGAGUAACGCGUAUCCAACCUGCCCAUCACUUGGGAAUAACCUUGCGAAAGUAAGACUAAUACCCAAUGACAUCCCACGAAGACAUCUGAAUGGGAUUAAAGAUUUAUCGGUGAUGGAUGGGGAUGCGUCUGAUUAGCUUGUUGGCGGGGUAACGGCCCACCAAGGCAACGAUCAGUAGGGGUUCUGAGAGGAAGGUCCCCCACAUUGGAACUGCGACACGGUCCAAACUCCUACGGGAGGCAGCAGUGAGGAAUAUUGGUCAAUGGGCGAGAGCCUGAACCAGCCAAGUAGCGUGCAGGAUGACGGCCCUAUGGGUUGUAAACUGCUUUUAUAAGGGAAUAAAGUGGGUCUCGUGAGACUUUUUGCAUGUACCUUAUGAAUAAGGACCGGCUAAUUCCGUG